AUUGAACGCUGGCGGCAUGCCUUACACAUGCAAGUCGAACGGUAACAGGUCUUCGGAUGCUGACGAGUGGCGAACGGGUGAGUAAUACAUCGGAACGUGCCUCGUAGUGGGUGAUAACUACUCGAAAGAGUGGCUAAUACCGCAUGAGAUCUACGGAUGAAUGCAGGGGAUCGCAAGACCUUGUGAUACUCGAGCGGCCGAUGGCGGAUUAGGUAGUUGGUGGGAUAAAAGCUUACCAAGCCGACGAUCUGUAGCUGGUCUGAGAGGACGAUCAGCCACACUGGGACUGAGAAACGGCCCAGACUCCUACGGGAGGCAGAAGUGGGGAAUUUUGGACAAUGGGCGCAAGCCUGAUCCAGCAAUGCCGCGUGCAGGAUGAAGGCCUUCGGGUUGUAAACUGCUUUUGUACGGAACGAAAAGCCCCGGGUUAAUACCCUGGGGUCAUGACGGUACCGUAAGAAUAAGCACCGGCUAACUACGUGCCAGCCGCCGCAGUAA
This 498-nucleotide ribosomal RNA is filed under the name uncultured bacterium. Its description in RNAcentral is "partial 16S ribosomal RNA". It matches the Rfam family "Bacterial small subunit ribosomal RNA", at positions 30 to 523 of the family's 1533-position model. The record is from RNAcentral.